This 484-nucleotide ribosomal RNA is filed under the name uncultured bacterium. RNAcentral's name for it is "partial 16S ribosomal RNA". It matches the Rfam family "Bacterial small subunit ribosomal RNA", at positions 30 to 507 of the family's 1533-position model. The record is from RNAcentral.
AUUGAACGCUGGCGGCAUGCCUUACACAUGCAAGUCGAACGGCAGCGCGGACUUCGGUCUGGCGGCGAGUGGCGAGCGGGUGAGUAAUACAUCGGAACGUACCCUGUUGUGGGGGAUAACUAGUCGAAAGAUUAGCUAAUACCGCAUACGACCUGAGGGUGAAAGUGGGGGACCGCAAGGCCUCACGCAGCAGGCGCGGCCGAUGUCUGAUUAGCUAGUUGGUGGGGUAAAGGCCCACCAAGGCGACGAUCAGUAGCUGGUCUGAGAGGACGAUCAGCCACACUGGGACUGAGACACGGCCCAGACUCCUACGGGAGGCAGCAGUGGGGAAUUUUGGACAAUGGGGGCAACCCUGAUCCAGCAAUGCCGCGUGUGUGAAGAAGGCCUUCGGGUUGUAAAGCACUUUUGUCCGGAAAGAAAUCGCGCUGGUUAAUACCUGGCGUGGAUGACGGUACCGGAAGAAUAAGCACCGGCUAACUACGUG